Molecule: ribosomal RNA, 482 nt
Filed under: uncultured fungus from ectomycorrhizal root
Lineage: Eukaryota; Fungi
Description: eukaryotic LSU rRNA
Rfam family: 5.8S ribosomal RNA (bases 170-323)
Source: RNAcentral
UCAUUACAGAGAACAUCGCCCUCACGGGGGUGACUCUCCAACCCUAUGUUAUUAAAAUCUUUGUUGCUUUGGCGAGCCGCUUCGGUCACCGGCUCUUGCUGGUGUGCGCUCGCCAGAGGACCACAAUCUCUGUUUAUUUAGUGUCGUCUGAGUACUAUAUAAUAGUUAAAACUUUCAACAACGGAUCUCUUGGUUCUGGCAUCGAUGAAGAACGCAGCGAAAUGCGAUAAGUAAUGUGAAUUGCAGAAUUCAGUGAAUCAUCGAAUCUUUGAACGCACAUUGCGCCCCGUGGUAUUCCGCGGGGCAUGCCUGUUCGAGCGUCAGUACAACACUCAAGCUCUGCUUGGUAUUGGACCGCAUCAGUUUUGAUCGGUCUUAAAAUCAGUGGCGGAGCCAUCGUGCUCUAAGCGUAGUAAAUACUCCUCGCUACAGGGCCUCGGUGCGUGCUUGCCAGCAACUCUCAACUUUCUAAGUUUGACCUC